This 434-nucleotide ribosomal RNA is filed under the name uncultured bacterium. RNAcentral's name for it is "bacterial SSU rRNA". It matches the Rfam family "Bacterial small subunit ribosomal RNA", at positions 958 to 1392 of the family's 1533-position model. The record is from RNAcentral.
AACGCGAAGAACCUUACCUGGUCUUGACAUAGUAAGAACUUUCCAGAGAUGGAUUGGUGCCUUCGGGAACUUACAUACAGGUGCUGCAUGGCUGUCGUCAGCUCGUGUCGUGAGAUGUUGGGUUAAGUCCCGCAACGAGCGCAACCCUUUUCCUUAUUUGCCAGCACUUCGGGUGGGAACUUUAAGGAUACUGCCAGUGACAAACUGGAGGAAGGCGGGGACGACGUCAAGUCAUCAUGGCCCUUACGGCCAGGGCUACACACGUGCUACAAUGGUCGGUACAAAGGGUUGCUACACAGCGAUGUGAUGCUAAUCUCAAAAAGCCGAUCGUAGUCCGGAUUGGAGUCUGCAACUCGACUCCGUGAAGUCGGAAUCGCUAGUAAUCGUGGAUCAGAAUGCCACGGUGAAUACGUUCCCGGGUCUUGUACACACCG